AGUGAGUCUUCAAUGGAAAGCUCCCCAGAGGUCAGCCGGAAACCUAGCGUGCAAGAGGCCGACCGUCCUCCUUCGUUGGUCUCUUCUCCCUGCAUCAGGGCUCCUAGUUCAGACGGACUUCAGGCAGAGGCCAAGGUGUCAGUUCCUGAGAGCCCACAACCUCUAACUACUGAGUCUGUGGACUGUGUAGAGGACAGGGCUGAUGGUGGGGUUGCAGAAGGUGGCAGUGAAGGUUCCUCAUCUGCAGAAACGUGUGCUUCCUCUUACCCUGGUUGGAUAAAAAGCCCAGAGAGAGGCCCUACUGGACCAGCUGGCCUGAACUUCUCCCCAGUUAACUCAAACUUAAGGGACCUCACCCCCUCUCACACCCUGGAGCCUCUGGUGGCUCCCUUCAGGCCUGAGGCUGCAACGGGGCCCGCAGCAGGAACAGGGUCACUGGUUGGCUCUCAAGCUGCCUUCAGUGAAGGCCAGGGGCAGCUUUUUUACCCCUGCUCUGAGGAGGGAAGUACAUUAGGCUUCUCUCGCUCUCUGAAUGGAGAUGGUACCAGUGAGGGAGGAGGAUCGGCACAGAAUCCCCCACAAAAGAAAAAGGUUUCCCUGCUGGAAUACAGGAAACGCCAGCGUGAAGCUCGUCGCAGCGGCUCCAAGACUGAGUGCAGUUCUCCAGUUUCCACCGUGCCGCCCUUGACCAUGGACGCCUUUCCUGUCCCUGUGGAGACGACCAGUGAACCCCCAGUACCCCCUGCUCCCUCACCGCUCUGCAGCACCAAUACUGUUACUGUAAAGAGCCCCAGUUGAAUGAGGAGAUGGAGACCCAGGCAGAGAAAGGAGAAAAGGAGGGAGGAGAGGGACAGUGGACGUCGUCCACGUCUGUAGAACAGGCUCGUGAGCGCAGCUACCACAGAGCGUUGCUGCUCAGCAAAGAUAAAGACACAGAUGGAGAAACAGAGGGUGGUGAUACGCCUGCACUGAGAGACUGUCCAUCUCCAAGCCUUCAGAAGACCCCCACUCAUGCACCCUGCUCUCCCAGUCCUCCCGUCCGGACGGCAAAGGAGGAUGAGGGUGACGGUCAGCCUCGGACACCAAAUCCGACAAGUCAACCGCAGACCAAGCCUACAAGCACUAAACCGGCUCCUUUGACCCCAACAAAGAUUCAUGCAACCCCACUGCCCUCCUCGCCGGUCCACUACCCGGGUCCCUCCCUUCUUCACUCUCCAAAGCCUCAGCCUCAGGGCUCACCAUUCCGCAGCCAGAGGGCGCUGUUCUCAGCCCAGCCUCAAAACCAGCCACAGCCUCAAGCUCAGACUGGUCCAACCCCUUUCCCCCAGUACAACACACAGAAUGCUCCACCGCCUCCACCCCCUCCUCCGCCAGCACCUCCAGUUUCGACUGCCUACUUCCCCAGCCAAAGCCCCUCCCCCGCAGGCCCAUUCCCUUCAUUUAAACCUGCCGUCACACCACCCUACCCCCCUGGUUCUCAGCCCCUGAUGCAGACUCUUCCUCACAGCGUGCACUAUCAGAGCUCGGCUGCUCCUCCACCGCCACCUCCUCCACCCCCCCACCCGAUGUCUGGGCCCACCUUGCUGCAUGUCAACCUACAGCCUCCUCCCAUACAGCAGCACCAGCUCAUGCUGACGACUGCUCCGCCUCCUCCUCCACCCCCACAGGGCCAGAACCCCCAGCAGCAGCAGCAACAGCAGCCACCUCCCAGUGGGAGCACCCUACUGUCUCUUACUCCUCCACCUCCGCCGCCUCCACCUCCCCCAGCCCCUUCAACUAACGCCCAAAUGCAGCCGCACCACUUUCAGAACUUGGGGGGUUUCCAGCCAACACUGAUGCACCCCAGUGCCGCCACCAACCCUUCAGUACCCCCAUCCACGUACCCCCCAUCUCUUCAGCAGACCGGACUGCCUCCGCCUCCCCCUCCUCCUCCCCAACAGACUCAGCAAGGCCAGGCCCAGGCCUCUGUUUCCCAGAUGCCUGCCGGGACUCGUGGAGCCCCCGCAUCCUCGACCCCCUUCCACAGUUCGGGGUACUUGAGCACAGGUUGGCACUGACCGCCCUCACUGCUGCCGCCCCUGCCUGCCGCCCCUGCGAACUCAGUCUGAGAGGGGUGUGUACCAUAAGCUGUAGAUACAUUUUCUAUGUACCUGAACACAUGGCCAGUGGAAAAACAGCUGAUUGUGGGAGAAAAGGGUACUUUUUAAAAUAAAACACAAGGACAGAAAAUUUUAGAAAAAAAACGGACAGUGAAAUAAUCUUCAAGACAAACUGAGUAAAAGUGAAGAUGGAUGAUCCCCCCGGUGCUCAUUGCCCUCUCUGGCCUCGUUUUGUUUUUAUAUAUCCUUCCUGUGAUGGAGACAAAAGUUCUUCUGUUCUGUGUCUUGUUUGGACUCCCGUUGUAAGGCCCGCACUUUGUUUAUCAAUGGACAUUCCAGCCUAUAUCCCCCUCCUCUUCCUCCUUUGUCUUUUAUUCCUUUGAUUCCCUCUUCUCUCGUCUAUUGUCAGCACUCUACGCCAUUUAUUUGUUUAAUCUAGUUGCUCAUUAUAGCAAAGAGAAAGCUUUUUGUAUAGAGAAAAAAACACAAUUAUUUUUUUUAUUCCUGUCUAACAACAAAUAUCUGUUCACCGCUGCAGAUUCAGAAAAGACCCAUGCUGGGAGGCUGCACUCGUAUGUGUGUGUUUGUGUGUGCGUGCGCGUGUGUCUGAGUGUGUGCACAUGUUGGGUGUGUCGGCCUAGUGUCACAUUCAGAGGAGGAAAGUGUGAGUGAGUUUCCCUGUUACGAGUGCUCGUAGUCUUCGAAGGUAGGCAGGGUGGUGUCGCCCACAGGUAGGAUGUUAGCGGUUUAUUUUUGAAUAUCAAUGGUUAUUUGUAGAAAGUGUAAUUUAAUGUAUAGGUGGUUACUCCAGCUUUCACCAGGAACAGGUUGUACAUAUUCGCUUCUUUUCUUUUCUAUGCUUGUACAAUUUGCUUCCCAUCCCAUUUUGAAAUAUGGUUGUAAAUAUGAACGCUCUUCUUGGCAAAGCUGAAUGUUUCUGUGACUGUAGCAUUAUUUUUAUUUUAUUUUUUUCCCCUCUCUGGACUCUUCAACUUUGUCUUUUUUUAUUAUUUGUGUGAGUGUAUGUUUGUGUGGAGGGGACAGACUCACAGACACUGCACUGGUUGGCUAUUUUCAUGGUUCAUUAUAAUAAAAUCACUGUAAUGAGUUUUAUACCACUUGUCUUGGCGUGUGUUU
RNAcentral lists this long non-coding RNA (3236 nucleotides) under Sphaeramia orbicularis (orbiculate cardinalfish). RNAcentral's name for it is "lncRNA (ENSSORG00005008120.1)". The record is from RNAcentral. Lineage: Eukaryota; Metazoa; Chordata; Actinopteri; Kurtiformes; Apogonidae.